UCAAUUGAAGCCAAUGAUCGGCAUAUCACUGUUAAUGAUAAUUUAAGAAGUUAAAUUCUUCUCUAUUGAG
RNAcentral lists this transfer RNA (70 nucleotides) under Triops cancriformis. RNAcentral describes it as "tRNA-Asn". Lineage: Eukaryota; Metazoa; Arthropoda; Branchiopoda; Notostraca; Triopsidae. The record is from RNAcentral.